UACCCGAAGCCCGCUAGAGAGGCCGGGCCGGGCCGGCGCGGCCGCCCGGAACCCGACCCGCUGCCCCGCGCAGCUGCGUCGUCGGCAGCCUGGAGUCCUGGUGGCCGAGGACUGCGGGAUCCUGUACCUGAAGGGCGCCAGCCCAGCGCAGGAUGCCGGCCUCGGCGGCUCAGGAAGCUGCCAGAGGACAGACAGGAGGCGAGGGCGCGGGCGCGGGCGGCUCUGCGCUCGGCCCGCCCGGCCCCUCAGCUGCCCUUGACUUGUGGACGCGGCCCCCACGCCGCCCCUGCCGCCCUAAAAUCUGUUUCUGGCCACCGCCUACCAAAUCUGCUUUCUGUUCAUCUCUGCCUCCUCCAUUUCUAGCAGGAGAUUGUAAUAAAAAUGGAAGAAGAACCAAGUUCUGCUUUGGACUCUGAAGAGACUUUUAAUUCUUGUAGGAAAGAAUGGGAAGAACAACGUGUAAACAACAAUUACUUGGCAACAAGGGCAGAACAUGGGCAGCUGAGAAGCAGCAGGUUCCGCAGCAUUUGCUGGAAGAAACCUACAGAGGCAGAACCUGCAGCUAUGGAGAGUUGACUGUAUUGUUCAAAACCUGUAGCCCUCAUCGAACAGGUAAGCUUAAGUCAUUCCUUCUACCACAAACACCAUUUAGCUCUAAGUGUUUGAUAGAAACCAGUGAGUGUGUAUUGCACUGUAUGAGAAACAAGCCCACCUGA
RNAcentral lists this long non-coding RNA (716 nucleotides) under Oryctolagus cuniculus (rabbit). RNAcentral describes it as "lncRNA (ENSOCUG00000035627.1)". The record is from RNAcentral. Lineage: Eukaryota; Metazoa; Chordata; Mammalia; Lagomorpha; Leporidae.